GGACCCUACCAGAGCUCCUGGGUGGCUUUGUGUGAGGGGACUGAACGCAGACAAACCACAGCCUGCUUCUAAUACCUUCUUUCCCUACCACCUAGUUCCAAAUGGAACCAACAAGUUGAGUGCAUCUCUGUUGGGUGUUUUGUGUUGAGACUGGCUGAAGUGAAGAAUCUUUGACUGACCAUGUUGUGAUGUGUCGACAGACUCAAGGACACAACCACCUCGACCUGGUCAUGUGGCAUGCCUGUGUAUGUGUGUAACAGGAUUCUGAAUGUUAGGUUGUAAUGCUAUUCCUGUAUGGGAGAAAAAAUAAUAUAAACAAAUAAAAAUCUAUUUAAAGC
This 338-nucleotide long non-coding RNA is filed under the name Mus musculus (house mouse). RNAcentral's name for it is "long non-coding RNA chr2:155389506-155389844". The record is from RNAcentral. Lineage: Eukaryota; Metazoa; Chordata; Mammalia; Rodentia; Muridae.